RNAcentral lists this ribosomal RNA (499 nucleotides) under uncultured bacterium. RNAcentral's name for it is "bacterial SSU rRNA". It matches the Rfam family "Bacterial small subunit ribosomal RNA", at positions 17 to 518 of the family's 1533-position model. The record is from RNAcentral.
UCCUGGCUCAGGAUGAACGCUGGCGGCGUGCCUAACACAUGCAAGUCGAGCGGAGAUACGCCGAGAUUCAAUCGAUGAUCGGCAUAUCUUAGCGGCGGAUGGGUGAGUAACACGUGGGUAACCUGCCCUGCACAGGGGGAUAACAGCUGGAAACGGCUGUUAAUACCGCAUAUGCACACGCUGCCGCAUGGCAGGGGGUGGAAAGAUUUUUAUCGGUGCAGGAUGGGCCCGCGUCGGAUUAACUGGUUGGCAGGGUAACGGCCUACCAAGGUGAUGAUCCGUAGCCGACCUGAGAGGGUGACCGGCCACAUUGGGACUGAGACACGGCCCAAACUCCUACGGGAGGCAGCAGUGGGGGAUAUUGCACAAUGGGCGCAAGCCUGAAUGCAGCGACGCCGCGUGAAGGAAGAAGUAUUUCGGUAUGUAAACUUCUAUCAGCGGGGAAGAAGAUGACGGUACCCGACUAAGAAGCCCCGGCUAACUACGUGCCAGCAGCCGC